Molecule: ribosomal RNA, 1371 nt
Filed under: uncultured bacterium
Lineage: Bacteria
Description: bacterial SSU rRNA
Rfam family: Bacterial small subunit ribosomal RNA
Source: RNAcentral
GAUGAACGCUGGCGGCGUGCCUAAUACAUGCAAGUCGAGCGAACGGACGAGAAGCUUGCUUCUCUGAUGUUAGCGGCGGACGGGUGAGUAACACGUGGAUAACCUACCUAUAAGACUGGGAUAACUUCGGGAAACCGGAGCUAAUACCGGAUAAUAUUUUGAACCGCAUGGUUCAAAAGUGAAAGACGGUCUUGCUGUCACUUAUAGAUGGAUCCGCGCUGCAUUAGCUAGUUGGUAAGGUAACGGCUUACCAAGGCAACGAUGCAUAGCCGACCUGAGAGGGUGAUCGGCCACACUGGAACUGAGACACGGUCCAGACUCCUACGGGAGGCAGCAGUAGGGAAUCUUCCGCAAUGGGCGAAAGCCUGACGGAGCAACGCCGCGUGAGUGAUGAAGGUCUUCGGAUCGUAAAACUCUGUUAUUAGGGAAGAACAUAUGUGUAAGUAACUGUGCACAUCUUGACGGUACCUAAUCAGAAAGCCACGGCUAACUACGUGCCAGCAGCCGCGGUAAUACGUAGGUGGCAAGCGUUAUCCGGAAUUAUUGGGCGUAAAGCGCGCGUAGGCGGUUUUUUAAGUCUGAUGUGAAAGCCCACGGCUCAACCGUGGAGGGUCAUUGGAAACUGGAAAACUUGAGUGCAGAAGAGGAAAGUGGAAUUCCAUGUGUAGCGGUGAAAUGCGCAGAGAUAUGGAGGAACACCAGUGGCGAAGGCGACUUUCUGGUCUGUAACUGACGCUGAUGUGCGAAAGCGUGGGGAUCAAACAGGAUUAGAUACCCUGGUAGUCCACGCCGUAAACGAUGAGUGCUAAGUGUUAGGGGGUUUCCGCCCCUUAGUGCUGCAGCUAACGCAUUAAGCACUCCGCCUGGGGAGUACGACCGCAAGGUUGAAACUCAAAGGAAUUGACGGGGACCCGCACAAGCGGUGGAGCAUGUGGUUUAAUUCGAAGCAACGCGAAGAACCUUACCAAAUCUUGACAUCCUUUGACAACUCUAGAGAUAGAGCCUUCCCCUUCGGGGGACAAAGUGACAGGUGGUGCAUGGUUGUCGUCAGCUCGUGUCGUGAGAUGUUGGGUUAAGUCCCGCAACGAGCGCAACCCUUAAGCUUAGUUGCCAUCAUUAAGUUGGGCACUCUAAGUUGACUGCCGGUGACAAACCGGAGGAAGGUGGGGAUGACGUCAAAUCAUCAUGCCCCUUAUGAUUUGGGCUACACACGUGCUACAAUGGACAAUACAAAGGGCAGCGAAACCGCGAGGUCAAGCAAAUCCCAUAAAGUUGUUCUCAGUUCGGAUUGUAGUCUGCAACUCGACUACAUGAAGCUGGAAUCGCUAGUAAUCGUAGAUCAGCAUGCUCUUUAAGUACGUUCCCGGGUCU